RNAcentral lists this long non-coding RNA (259 nucleotides) under Hordeum vulgare. RNAcentral describes it as "long non-coding RNA (HVUL_LNC012652)". Lineage: Eukaryota; Viridiplantae; Streptophyta; Magnoliopsida; Poales; Poaceae. The record is from RNAcentral.
CCGCCCAAUAAAAGUGACUAGACAAUUAUCCAAAAGACUAUCUUCCAUCUUAAAAAAAAGAAUACUAAAUAAUUAAAUAAAUUACGCUUGCACAAUUGAAAUUUUCACAUGUCAUUAUGAAACACUCACAUGAUACGCAGUUUGGUACUGGGGCAAAUCCUCAAUCAAGCGAUCAAGAUUUGGCCUAUUGAACGCCAAGAUUAGGCAAGCGGUCAAGAUUAUUGAACGCCAAGACCACCGAGAUCGCGCCAAGAUCAAU